Long non-coding RNA from Xenia sp. Carnegie-2017, 253 nucleotides. RefSeq lists it as uncharacterized. The transcript is spliced from 2 exons. The record is from RefSeq and is a predicted model, not a curated record. Lineage: Eukaryota; Metazoa; Cnidaria; Anthozoa; Malacalcyonacea; Xeniidae.
GAACAGACCAACAACAACACCAAGAAUGAGUAGUAGCAGUCCUCCAGCUAAAAUGUACACAAGAUACGUUUUUGUGACGAGGAAAUUGGCUGGCAACAUUUAUAAUUCAGUACCAUAACAACGCUAUAAAAAAACUCAGCUGAUACAUUAAAAAUUUGAAAAUAUUUCGAACAGGCAAGAAAAAUAUGUAUGUAGAAAGCAGUCAUUUGUCAAAGUCAAUUAAACCAACAUAGCCAGAUGGCAUUAACACAAA